AACGAACGCUGGCGGCAUGCCUAACACAUGCAAGUCGAACGAGAUCUUCGGGUCUAGUGGCGCACGGGUGCGUAACGCGUGGGAAUCAGCCCUUUGGUUCGGAAUAACAGUUGGAAACGACUGCUAAUACCGGAUGAUGACGAAAGUCCAAAGAUUAUCGCCAGAGGAUGAGCCCGCGUAGGAUUAGCUAGUUGGUGUGGUAAAGGCGCACCAAGGCGACGAUCCUUAGCUGGUCUGAGAGGAUGAUCAGCCACACUGGGACUGAGCACACGGCCCAGACUCCUACGGGAGGCAGCAGUGGGGAAUACUGAACAAUGGGCGAAAGCCUGAUCCAGCAAUGCCGCGUGAGUGAUGAAGGCCUUAGGGUUGUAAAGCUCUUUUACCCGGGAUGAUAAUGACAGUACCGGGAGAAUAAGCUCCGGCUAACUCCGUGCCAGCCGCCGCAGUAA
This 449-nucleotide ribosomal RNA is filed under the name uncultured bacterium. Its description in RNAcentral is "partial 16S ribosomal RNA". It matches the Rfam family "Bacterial small subunit ribosomal RNA", at positions 29 to 523 of the family's 1533-position model. The record is from RNAcentral.